CUUGAUUGCCCUGGUGGUGUUUACCUCACAAAUGCUGCCUAAUUCAGGCCAGAGGGAAGGCAGAGCCAGUGAAAAGAGCUCCACGGGCUAGAAGAGGGUGGACCCAGGAAGAGAUGGCCUCCCCCUGUCCCUGACUCAACUGGAGCUCAGUUCACUCUGCUUUGAAGGAGUAGGAGGAGAACACUACUCACAAAAAGGAGGGCAAGAACCGGCUUGUUCACCAUUGUAUUCCUGCACCACAGCAUAAGCACUCAAUCAUUAUGGGUUAAAGGCUGAAAUUCAAAAAGAGAAAGGGAGAUGUUAGACACCUACUGACCAAGGAGGUGCCCUCCAUUCUGCUUAACCACCGCCCAGGCCAGUCAUUUCUCUCCCUGGAAGACUUUGAGUCAUGCACGCGCAAGGAAAAUUAGAGACAGGGUUUCACCAUGUUGGUCUCAAACUCCUGACCUCAAGUGAUCCACCUGCCUCAGCCUCCCAAAGUGCUGGGAUUACAGACGUGAGCCACUGCCACACAGCCGAAUAAAGGACAAGAGUAGCAAAGAGGAUUAUGAGCAGUGCAAUACAAAACAAGGCUGCAACAAAAGGGCCACAGAAACCUGGAAUCAUUUUGGAAAUCAGUAUACCAUCUUGAAACCAAAAAUGUCUCCAUAAAUAUGAAGGCAAUAGCAAUGCCGUCACUGAGUCUGCCAUGAAGUCAGAAUGCCAAAUGAAGACUAUAAAACUUGGAUUUGCUUGCAGAGUUUCCACUGAAAUUCGAAUUCUUGAUACCUGUUAUGGACUGAAUUGCAUGCCCCCAAAAUGAAUAUGUUGAAGUUCCAACCUCAGUACCUCCAAAUCUCACAAUAUAUGGAGAUAAAGUCUUUAAAGAGGUCAUUAGGUUAAAAUCAGAUGUUUAAAGGGUGCUUACCCAAUAUGACUUGGGUCCUCAUAAAAAGAAGAAAUUUCAACAAAACAUGCAUGAACAGAGAACAGGCCAUCUGAGGACACAGCAAGAAGUUCAUCUGCAAGCCAAGCAGAGAGGCCUCAGAAUAGACCAAACCUACUGACACCUUCAACUUGGACUUCUAGCCCUCAGAACUGUGAGAAAAUACGUUCGUAUUGUUUAAGCCAUCUUGUCUGCAGUGUUUUGUUAUGGCAGCCCUGACAAACCAAUAGAAUAUCCAUACUCAUAAAGUUUUUCAUUGUUGCUGUGUCAAAUAAUUAUACCCAUUUCCAACUCAUGGUCCCCAAAACUUGUCACUUCAACCAAAACCAGGUGAGAUAUAAAAGGGAAUUACACAUUCAGUUGGAAGGAGAUACAUACAGAAAACCCCUUAAAAACCGGGAUCUUUUUUCUAUUCAUAUCUUUCAUAAUAGUGAAUCAGAAAAAGGUAAAUUAAAGGUUGUUUGGGAAAUUGACAGAUCUUUCUUUGGUAUGAUACCAGGCUCAAGAUCCUGUGCUUGUCAGACUAAGACUAAGAUUGUACUACCUUUUUACUCCAUGUGUUAUAUCCUGAAAAAAAUUCCAAGUCCAGGGAAAAACUUGAUAAAUAGAAGAAUGAAAAUGUGCUGUCCAAAAUAUGUAAAAAUACCACAAAACAGAUUGUAGAGUAUUGUCUAUAGCCAUUUAACUUGCAUGUGUGAUAAAGAGUAUCAUCCAAAUAUAACCUUAUGAAAUUUUUUUUAACUUCUAGAAGUCAAAAAGUACCCAAACACACACACAUACACACAAACUUAUGCUUUGUAGACGGGAGGGAGGUUUGCCAUAUGUGCGACAAACCGAAGGUUAAAUCCUUAUUACCUAAAACACAGCUUAUAAAUUCAUAAGAAAAAGAUAACUUAUCAUAAUAAAUGAAUAAUAUUAAGCAAUUCACAAAACAAGAAAUUCAAAUGUUCUACUAACUUUUUAUUCUUUUAUUCAUUCAAUCAAUAUCUAUUGGGCAUUUGGUAUGUGCUCAGCAUAAUACAAGACACCAGGUACAUGGUGAUGAGCAAAAACUGGCCCUUCUCUGUAAUUAUUCGCAAUAUAAUAUUAAACCCAACUUACAAUAAAAGAAAUUCAAAAUAAAAUGGUGCCAGGGAAUAAUCAGACAAGUGUAGAAUUGCAUACAAAAAUAUUAAUUGAGCUAUUAUAAUAAGGAAAACUUGAAACUACCUUAAUGUUUAUUAAUUCACUGUAAGUUAAAUAAAUGGAUAUAGACACUAAAUUUGUCCCUAAAAAUAUGUAAUGUCAUUGGACAAUUCCCACUGCAAAAUAUGAUGGAAAAAAGCAUGUGAUACUGAUGUUUAGAUAUAUGCAAAUUUCAUAUUUUCUACAGUAAAAGUAUUAUUCUAAUAAUUAAGGAAAACGCUUUUUAAACAACCAACAUGAAUGCUUUUGACAGGGAUGCCAUCGUGUAAGUUAAUUGCCAAAUAAACUAAAUAAACUUUUUUUUUUACUAUUAUUCUUCAGUUGACAAAUAAAAACUGUAUAAUUUACAUUGUAUGACAUAAUGUUUUGAAAUAUACAUAAAUAUGCUUUCUUGGAUGCUCACAAUUUGGGUACACUUUGGAGCAUACUGGAAAAUGCUCCUAACGUUGGAAGCAACACAGUCCCCUUACUUGAGCGAUAAAAUGUUACUUUGUUCCUUAAAUUAAAGAAAGGUUCGAAGUUUAGUUUGACAUUCACCUCUGCCUUUAUAAAACAAACACAGCCUAUAAAAUAACUUAAACGCCCAGAGUGCCGAGUUUCGUCGGGCCCUGGCUGCGCCGGGCCGAGCCCUGCCCCGCGGAGGUCGCCGCCCAGCACGGUCUGCAGAUGGCAGCCUCUCGCGGAAAGCCCCGCAACGCCGCUUCC
RNAcentral lists this long non-coding RNA (2815 nucleotides) under Homo sapiens (human). RNAcentral's name for it is "HSALNT0065317". Lineage: Eukaryota; Metazoa; Chordata; Mammalia; Primates; Hominidae. The record is from RNAcentral.